AGAGUUUGAUCCUGGCUCAGAUUGAACGCUGGCGGCAGGCUUAACACAUGCAAGUCGAGCGGGGAGAUGUAGCUUGCUACAUUACCUAGCGGCGGACGGGUGAGUAAUGCUUAGGAAUCUGCCUAUUAGUGGGGGACAACAUUCCGAAAGGAAUGCUAAUACCGCAUACGCCCUACGGGGGAAAGCAGGGGAUCUUCGGACCUUGCGCUAAUAGAUGAGCCUAAGUCAGAUUAGCUAGUUGGUGGGGUAAAGGCCUACCAAGGCGACGAUCUGUAGCGGGUCUGAGAGGAUGAUCCGCCACACUGGGACUGAGACACGGCCCAGACUCCUACGGGAGGCAGCAGUGGGGAAUAUUGGACAAUGGGCGCAAGCCUGAUCCAGCCAUGCCGCGUGUGUGAAGAAGGCCUUUUGGUUGUAAAGCACUUUAAGCGAGGAGGAGGCUACUUGGAUUAAUACUCUAGGAUAGUGGACGUUACUCGCAGAAUAAGCACCGGCUAACUCUGUGCCAGCAGCCGCGGUAAUACAGAGGGUGCGAGCGUUAAUCGGAUUUACUGGGCGUAAAGCGUGCGUAGGCGGCUUUUUAAGUCGGAUGUGAAAUCCCUGAGCUUAACUUAGGAAUUGCAUUCGAUACUGGGAAGCUAGAGUAUGGGAGAGGAUGGUAGAAUUCCAGGUGUAGCGGUGAAAUGCGUAGAGAUCUGGAGGAAUACCGAUGGCGAAGGCAGCCAUCUGGCCUAAUACUGACGCUGAGGUACGAAAGCAUGGGGAGCAAACAGGAUUAGAUACCCUGGUAGUCC
This 794-nucleotide ribosomal RNA is filed under the name uncultured bacterium. Its description in RNAcentral is "bacterial SSU rRNA". It matches the Rfam family "Bacterial small subunit ribosomal RNA", at positions 8 to 796 of the family's 1533-position model. The record is from RNAcentral.